This 164-nucleotide unclassified non-coding RNA is filed under the name soil metagenome. Its description in RNAcentral is "partial internal transcribed spacer 1". The record is from RNAcentral.
CAGGACUCGCAAGACUCCUACAACCCUGUGAACUUAACUAUAAGCACGUUGCUUCGGCGGGUGUCUCGGCGAGGGUCCUCCCUCCCCGGGGCGCUAAGCCCGCCGGCAGCCUACUAUACUCUGUCUCUUUGGCGUUGGCAUCUCGAGUACAAUCAAACAAGUUA